CUCAAAGGAAUUGACGGGGACCCGCACAAGCGGUGGAUGAUGUGGUUUAAUUCGAUGCAACGCGAAAAACCUUACCCACCUUUGACAUGUACGGAACUUGCCAGAGAUGGCUUGGUGCUCGAAAGAGAGCCGUAACACAGGUGCUGCAUGGCUGUCGUCAGCUCGUGUCGUGAGAUGUUGGGUUAAGUCCCGCAACGAGCGCAACCCUUGUCAUUAGUUGCUACAUUUAGUUGGGCACUCUAAUGAGACUGCCGGUGACAAACCGGAGGAAGGUGGGGAUGACGUCAAGUCCUCAUGGCCCUUAUAGGUGGGGCUACACACGUCAUACAAUGGCUGGUACAAAGGGUUGCCAACCCGCGAGGGGGAGCUAAUCCCACAAAGCCAGUCGUAGUCCGGAUCGCAGUCUGCAACUCGACUGCGUGAAGUCGGAAUCGCUAGUAAUCGUGGAUCAGAAUGUCACGGUGAAUACGUUCCCGGGUCUUGUACACACCGCCCGUCAC
Molecule: ribosomal RNA, 500 nt
Filed under: uncultured bacterium
Lineage: Bacteria
Description: bacterial SSU rRNA
Rfam family: Bacterial small subunit ribosomal RNA
Source: RNAcentral